AUGUCCUUCACCGGAGAUUAAUUGGGGGAAAAAAGGUGGUUCGAUUAGCUACUGUCAAUGCUCAAUGGUAUAUUGUACACUAUUGACAAUGUCUAGAAUUGGCAAGGAUAUAAGGAGUUGAAAGCUGCCCCCACCAGACUCAGCACCAAGGGAGAGGGAGACCAUAGCCGCAGUCUGGAAGUGGUAAGCGGUGAUGGAUGAGACGCUGCAGGGGUUACCACUCCAUCACCCUACCAGUCAUCCUCUCCUCAUCCUCCUAAGGUGCAUCUGUGGACAGGCUCCUCUCCCUCCCAGAAGGGUCCAGAUGUAGGGGCGAGAGAAGGAGAUAAUCCAUCCACGUCUAACCGGCCUCACAACCACAGACCAUGUGUAACCAUGCCAGCCCAGGAUCUCCACAUCAGUCUUCACCUGCGAGAUUGUCUGAGACCAGCCACCCGGACUGAGACCAGCAACCGAAGAAUUUCUGCACAAACUGUCAGAAAAGUGGCCUUUUAUAAAAACGGAUUUCAGGCAAUUCUACAUAAUUUUACAUGACUGGAGACUUUGGCAGAAUAUGUUUUAAAUACCGCACAAAUGAUCUUAAAUGACAGGCUACUUUGAUACGGACUAACUGAGAAUCUGAAAUCAAUAAAAACGACAAUAUCUUGAAUCCAUCAAUAGCCUAGGUGUGUGGAGCCGCAUAUUGUUGGCUACAAUAUGAGGUAAUUAGUCCUAAAAUGCUUUCCAGUUAAACUGAUUUGUCCAAUGUUGCGCAGCUCACUCGCUGGUGAUGGGCGAUGCAAUCGUGCCAAAAGCCUUUCUCUCUCGUUUUACUUUGUAAAACAAUAUUUGAAAGUUGAAAUGUUGGUAGCCUACAGCAUACAGAUCAUUCAUGUUCAGCAGGAGCUAUUUGCUUUUCAACCUGUGUUUUCCCGUGAUUGUAUUUGAAAUAUUGUUAAAGGCCAGUUUUGUCUGCAUGCUGUUUGUUCACUGACAGUUUUGCCGUGCGUUCCCGCCUUAUUAGGCUACACUCCACAGCUAUUAUUUAAAAGAAGCUAUUGGUCCUCUGACUACAUUUGUGUAGUAAGCUAUUCUGAAAUUAUUUCUUUUUUUUCCUGAACAGACAGCAGUAACUUUAGAAAAUGUAUUUCAAUAUAUCAGGGGUGCUGCAGCUCCUCCAGAACCUUUCGCGUGACUAUGCUUCUACAAGGAAAUAAAGAGGCGCAACUCUGGAGAGAUAAGAGUUGCAGACUCAUGUCUAUCAGAAGAGGGAGGGAGAUCAUAGAGGGUUAAUCACAUUCUAGUUCGGAGAGAGAUACAGGCACGCUUGUCACACAGCCGCGGCCACACAUUGGUCUCAAACAUAUAUUACAAUGUUGCGCAAACCAUAAACCUGGGCCGAACCUGAAUACAUACUUAGAUUUUCAGCCCGGGCCUGAUAUUCUACUUUUUCACAGUAUGUUGUUUGUGUGUGUGUGGUGGGGUGGACAGGAGAAACAACAAAGAGGCUACUUGUAUGAACUUUGAUCGAUUUUAUUCAAAAGUUUUACAUUGCAAAAAGUCGAAAUAAUUUAUGCCACGAGAGGCACCAGAUCCAACCAAAUAUGUUCCGACACGAAACAGUCCAAAACAGCAAGGUGCCAGAUCCUGCUCGUGCAGGAUUCAGCUCAAAUUAAACACUGAUAUGAACAUGGCACAAGUCAUGGCAAAAUGUGUAACAAACCCUCAUUCUAAUACGAUUUUUUUUUAGGGCCACCAAAAAUCUACGACCGGCCCUGUAUGGCAUACUAUCCUAAAACUGACCAAGACCCAAUUCUAGGUAACAAAUAGGAACACAUGCACAGAGGGAAACUGGCCCCACAGUCUCGGCCUUCUGCAAAAUGUACCUCUUGCCAUUCCUCUGUAUUGGUCGAGGAUCUUGACACUACUGGGACGACUGGCGCGGACGCGCUCUCUAAUUGUCCUCUCUGCGCGCUCCCGUACCACCUUCAGUUCCAAUAGCUGUAGUUUCCUCCGCAAUGUCCUGUUUUCUUUCUGGCUUUGAGUUAUUUCCAAACGAAACACUGCAUAGUCGUCGUCUACGACUUUACAGAUCUCUGCCACAGCUGCAUUCGCUAGAACCUCCAUGAUGGAGGCUAUUUGAGUGUGAAAAACCAUUGUUAGCUAACGUUACUUAGAUAACGUAGAGUCCUAUCUCUAACGUGAAUUAAAGACUACCUGAAGUAUGUGAUGUUGUGCCGUUAAAUGAGUCAUAUUUUGAGUUCCAAUGUGUUAAU
Molecule: long non-coding RNA, 2255 nt
Organism: Oncorhynchus gorbuscha (pink salmon)
Lineage: Eukaryota; Metazoa; Chordata; Actinopteri; Salmoniformes; Salmonidae
Exons: 3
Source: RefSeq, a predicted model, not a curated record